Molecule: ribosomal RNA, 460 nt
Filed under: uncultured bacterium
Lineage: Bacteria
Description: partial 16S ribosomal RNA
Rfam family: Bacterial small subunit ribosomal RNA
Source: RNAcentral
CCUACGGGAGGCUGCAGUGAGGAAUAUUGGUCAAUGGACGAGAGUCUGAACCAGCCAAGUAGCGUGAAGGAUGACUGCCCUAUGGGUUGUAAACUUCUUUUAUAUGGGAAUAAAACAGGGUAUGCAUACCCUCUUGUAUGUACCAUAUGAAUAAGGAUCGGCUAACUCCGUGCCAGCAGCCGCGGUAAUACGGAGGAUCCGAGCGUUAUCCGGAUUUAUUGGGUUUAAAGGGAGCGUAGGUGGAUUGUUAAGUCAGUUGUGAAAGUUUGCGGCUCAACCGUAAAAUUGCAGUUGAAACUGGCGGUCUUGAGUACGGUAGAGGUAGGCGGAAUUCGUGGUGUAGCGGUGAAAUGCUUAGAUAUCACGAAGAACUCCGAUUGCGAAGGCAGCUUACUGGGCUGCAACUGACGCUGAUGCUCGAAAGCGUGGGGAUCAAACAGGAUUAGAUACCCCGGUAGUC